RNAcentral lists this ribosomal RNA (423 nucleotides) under uncultured bacterium. Its description in RNAcentral is "bacterial SSU rRNA". It matches the Rfam family "Bacterial small subunit ribosomal RNA", at positions 207 to 622 of the family's 1533-position model. The record is from RNAcentral.
AAGACCUUGCGUUUUUGGAGCGGCCGAUGUCUGAUUAGCUAGUUGGUGGGGUAAUGGCCUACCAAGGCUUCGACCAGUAGCUGGUCUGAGAGGACGGCCAGCCACACUGGGACUGAGACACGGCCCAGACUCCUACGGGAGGCAGCAGUGGGGAAUUUUGGACAAUGGGCGCAAGCCUGAUCCAGCCAUGCCGCGUGAGUGAAGAAGGCCUUCGGGUUGUAAAGCUCUUUCAGCCGAGAAGAAAAGAUUGCGACUAAUAAUCGCGAUUCAUGACGGUACCGGCAGAAGAAGCACCGGCUAACUACGUGCCAGCAGCCGCGGUAAUACGUAGGGUGCGAGCGUUAAUCGGAAUUACUGGGCGUAAAGGGUGCGCAGGCGGUUUUGUAAGUCAGAUGUGAAAUCCCCGGGCUUAACCUGGGAACU